This 459-nucleotide ribosomal RNA is filed under the name uncultured bacterium. Its description in RNAcentral is "partial 16S ribosomal RNA". It matches the Rfam family "Bacterial small subunit ribosomal RNA", at positions 338 to 795 of the family's 1533-position model. The record is from RNAcentral.
CCUACGGGAGGCAGCAGUGAGGAAUAUUGGUCAAUGGACGAGAGCCUGAACCAGCCAAGUAGCGUGAGGGAUGACGGCCCUACGGGUUGUAAACCUCUUUUGUAUGGGAAUAACAUGCUCCACGUGUGGCGUUCUGUAUGUACCAUACGAAUAAGGAUCGGCUAACUCCGUGCCCGCAGCCGCGGUAAUACGGAGGGUCCGAGCGUUAUCCGGAUUUAUUGGGUUUAAAGGGAGCGUAGGGGGGUUGUAAAGUCAGUGGUAAAAGUUGGGGGCUCAACCGCACCCUGCAGUUGAAACUGGCAGUCUUGAGUACAAGAGAGGUAGGCGGAAUGCGUGGUGUAGCGGUGAAAUGCAUAGAUAUCACGAAGAACCCCGAUUGCGAAGGCAGCAUGCCGGAUUGCAACUGACGCUGAGGCUCGAAAGUGUGGGUAUCAAACAGGAUUAGAUACCCUGGUAGUC